AACGAACGCUGGCGGCAGGCUUAACACAUGCAAGUCGAGCGCAUCCUUCGGGGUGAGCGGCGGACGGGUGAGUAACGCGUGGGAACGUGCCCUCUUCUACGGAAUAGCCUCGGGAAACUGAGAGUAAUGCCGUAUACGCCCGCAAGGGGAAAGACUUAUCGGAGGAGGAUCGGCCCGCGUUGGCUUAGGUAGUUGGUGGGGUAACGGCCUACCAAGCCGACGAUCCAUAGCUGGUUUGAGAGGAUGAUCAGCCACACUGGGACUGAGACACGGCCCAGACUCCUACAGGAAGCAGCAGUGGGGAAUCUUGGACAAUGAGGGCAACCCUGAUCCAGCCAUGCCGCGUGAUCGAUGAAGGCCUUAGGGUUGUAAAGAUCUUUCAGCUGGGAAGAUAAUGACGGUACCAGCAGAAGAAGCCCCGGCUAACUCCGUG
RNAcentral lists this ribosomal RNA (433 nucleotides) under uncultured bacterium. RNAcentral's name for it is "partial 16S ribosomal RNA". It matches the Rfam family "Bacterial small subunit ribosomal RNA", at positions 29 to 507 of the family's 1533-position model. The record is from RNAcentral.